UUGGUGGCGACCGGCGCACGGGUGAGUAACGCGUAUGCAACCUCCUUUAUCAGAGGGGAAUAACCCGGCGAAAGUCGGACUAAUACCGCAUAAAACAGGGACACCGCAUGGUGAUAUUUGUUAAAGAAAUUCGCUGAUAGAUGGGCAUGCGUUCCAUUAGGUAGUUGGUGAGGUAACGGCUCACCAAGCCGACGAUGGAUAGGGGAACUGAGAGGUUGGUCCCCCACACUGGUACUGAGACACGGACCAGACUCCUACGGGAGGCAGCAGUGAGGAAUAUUGGUCAAUGGGCGAGAGCCUGAACCAGCCAAGUCGCGUGAAGGAAGAAGGAUCUAUGGUUCGUAAACUUCUUUUGCAGGGGAAUAAAGUGCAGGACGUGUCCUGUUUUGUAUGUACCCUGAGAAUAAGGAUCGGCUAACUCCGUGCCAGCAGCCGCGGUAAUACGGAGGAUCCGAGCGUUAUCCGGAUUUAUUGGGUUUAAAGGGUGCGUAGGUGGUUUGAUAAGUCAGCGGUGAAAGUUUGCAGCUUAACUGUAAAAAUGCCGUUGAAACUGUCGGACUUGAGUGUAAAUGAGGUAGGCGGAAUGCGUGGUGCAGCGGUGAAAUGCUUAGAUAUCACGAAGAACUCCGAUUG
Molecule: ribosomal RNA, 633 nt
Filed under: uncultured Porphyromonadaceae bacterium
Lineage: Bacteria; Pseudomonadati; Bacteroidota; Bacteroidia; Bacteroidales; Porphyromonadaceae
Description: bacterial SSU rRNA
Rfam family: Bacterial small subunit ribosomal RNA
Source: RNAcentral